AUAAACUGAAGGCUUGGAUUGCAGGCGUAGUCCACAUCUAUGCCAUUGUCUGGUGGACACUCCCGCAAUGUAUCCUGGUGUUGUGCAGGCAGAAGAUGAGGACAGAGGCAAACAAAAAUGGGGUUGAAAUCUUCUGGAUACAGAACAUCUGGUCUCUUACUGAAGCAAUGAGUAUCCUGUAGAUGACCUUACCUUCAUAAUGCCAUUCCAGUUGUCGCCCGUGGAGACUUGAAACAAGGUAAGGAAGGCCAUGCCAAAGUUCUCAAAAGUAGCGUGACGACUCAUACCCUCACAUGGGUAGUCUUCAUUGCAAACUGAGGAUUAAAGUAAUUUGGGUGAAUGGAGGGAGAGAAGAAGUCACGGAUCCCGGGUGAGGAAAGAGGUAAAAAGAUCAAAGAUGAGAGAAAGGAAAAAUGAAAAACAGAGCAGGGAUAACAAAAGAAGGAAAAAAUAAUAAAUAUCGAUGUAAAAGAGAAAAAAAAGGCAUUAACAUGUUACUUACUUACCCAACAAUCAGUACUUAUCAUGACAUUGCUCCCAAAUACUGCAGCAAGCAUACACCGUUACUGUUGCUAAGCUGCCUGGAUGACUGUCCAAACAAGACAACUCAGUGUGGGCACAGUCUGUUAUUAAAUCAGUAGCAAUGUGACCAAACACUCUAUUUGUCUUUGAGCUUAUAUCCCAAGAUAAUCUUUGGAAUGGCCUCAAGAAAGCAACGCUUGCAUUUGCCACUAAUCCUUUCUCCUGCACAAGGGAAAUGUGACAGUUUGGAGGAUGUAUCUUCCAACUUCAAUGUGUAUAUUUUAGGAUAGUGCUUAUGUAUCAGAACAUUGGAAAGUGGGUCUGACUGCAGGAGAGAAAACUGAAUAAAGGAGAGAGAGAAAAUAAGGAGAUUCUCAUAAGAAAGUUUAUACAAGUCCUCACGCUUUUAUGUUCACUAUAAUGCCUGAAAACUCUGAGUGAUGAUGUUUGGACAAUAUGUUCUUCUAUAUAUAAAUAUAACUGUAUGUUUUUGUGUCUGUUAUGUUUUAAGAACUCAGGCAUAGAAAAUAAAAAGAAGUUUUACUUGAUAUAAUCUUUGUAGCAUCACGAUUGACUUCAUGUGUACUCACCAAGUUCUCCGAAAAGCUCUACUCCUAAGGCGGCGUAGAUGAAAAACAGUAGCAUAAAGAGCAGGCCCAGGUUACCCACCUGCAAUACACACACAUAAAGAUAAACAUCUUUCAAUGCACAUGUUGUAAACCAUUUGACAGCAUUCUAGCAUCUGUAAUGACCAAGUUCUCUCUAAACAGCAUUGUGGCUUGGUUUUAUGCCCCGGCUUCAUUAUAGACUCAAUAUCUAAUGCACACCUCUUCUAUUUUAGUUAACAGGAUAAAAACCCAUGAACCCUAUUCCAGUCAGCAACCAACAAUUGAUUCACUGAUUAAUCAUUUAGCCUAUAAAUUCCACAGAAUUGUGAAAAAUGCCUAACACAAGUUCUCAGAGCCCAAGGUGACAUGUGAAAUGUCUCUUUUUUGUGAAGCUGAUAGUCCAAAGCCAAUUAUUUGAUUCAAAAUUAUACAAAACACAAAAAGCAGCAGAUCCUCACAUUUCAAGAGCUGAAACCACCACAAAAAUGCACAAAGAACUACAAAUUGUUCCUUGUGUUCUGCUUCCAUUUCUCUAUGCUUAGCUCUGCAAACCACGGCAUAACUUCCUCUGAGACUCUGAACCCCUGAUGCUGUUGUGAAUUUUUGAGUUUGGGGUUUUGAGACUUGGCUCGGUUCCACCACAUAACUGCCUUUAGUAACCGCAAUUUAAUGGUGAUGAUGAUGUUGCAUGGUAAAUGCUCAGGGCUAAAUAUAAUCCCAUUACAGGGAUGAAAACCCAGUAUACUAUUCACUGUCUUUAACACGGUUCCACUGGGAAUGAGAAAAUGCACUGACAAACGGCUGCUAUAAUUAUACUACAUGUGUUAUAAAUCACUCUAUCUGUUUUUCAGGGGGAAAACACUUAAAAUACGCUGUUUACUUUGCAGGGUUCAGAAAGAGUGCAUCAACAUUGACAGAGCUUGUUAAGCUGCUAUGUAAAACUAAAAAAGAGUACACCUGGUAGAAAGAUCACAAUGAAAAGUUUUUUAUAAUAGUCCUUUAUUUGGAGCAAAAGCUCUCAGUAAAUAGGAGCCAAGUCAAACAACUGUGGUUGAAUUGAAUUUAGAUUGCAUUAAAUUGAAAAACAAUGGGAUUUCAAACCAAUGCAAAAGAAAAAAUACAGUAGGUAGAACUGCAUUUAUUAGUAGCUCCUGUCCUCUCCCCUCCUUUGAAAUUUACAACAGUGAUACUGAUUGGUGUAAUCAGCAAAUACUUGCCAAGUAUUCGUCAUUAUUUGCAUUUUCAUGCUACCAAAGGUCUUAAAAUAAAUGGGCUUGCUAAUAAAUGAAAUUCAACUGUAUACUUAAAGAAAAGAAAAAAAAAUCUGCUCUCAUCUAGUACCAUGGAAAUGAAUACUGUGGAUGUAGACAAAUAUGCCCUGUUCCAUACAGUACAGUGAGUCUCUUUGGACUACAAGUAAUGGAGGUAAUUGCUGUACAAUCUUUCACUUGGAGUGCUGCAAUAAUUUUAGAUGUGACUGUUGGGGAGGUCUUGCCUCAAGUAUCUCUAUGUUACUGCUAUACUGCCUGGAGUGCUUAACAGUCUGUGCUUCAUAAUGGCCAGGGUCUUCAUGGAAUUAAGGAUAAGGAUGAAUGCACUUUUGAGAAAGAUGAGUUUAUGAAGGACUUAGUAGUGCAAUCUAUGAAAAUGUGCAGUAUAUUACAAUAGCCAACUCUAUACUAGAUGAACAUGAGCUUGACAAUUAGUUUAAGCUAAUUUAUGCACAUAUAUUCAAAGAUUAUGUUCUGUUUUAUUGUUCUCAUUAUUUCAUUUGAAAAGAAGAACAAACAUUCACAUCAUUCAUUCAUUUUAAAACUAAUUGCAAACUGCUCUGUUUCACAGGGGGCAGCUCUGAUGCCUCCCUGAAGAAAAAAUGACACUCCAUGUGGUGUCCACAUCUGCCGUGGGCUAUUCAGGACCAUUCUCAGCCAUUCCCAGGGAAGAGAUAAAACAACUGGUUCAACUUUAGUGCCAACAUGAUGAAGGGCUCUUGAUGUUAGUGAAUGGUGUGUUGCAGCCAUUUUGCAUUAGCUGAAGAGGAGAGGAUAAUGGUGGAUGCUGGUGGGUAAAAUGAUCUUGCUUACUGUGUCUUUGUAAAGAAAAGUAAUGAAAAUGUGUUUCUCUUCACGUCAAAUGGUGUAAGUGUGCAGAUCCCUCAUUAUAUCUCCAUGUCUUGUCAUGGCCCAUUAAAUCUAUAAACUUCUUGCAAA
Molecule: long non-coding RNA, 3340 nt
Organism: Scomber scombrus (Atlantic mackerel)
Lineage: Eukaryota; Metazoa; Chordata; Actinopteri; Scombriformes; Scombridae
Exons: 2
Source: RefSeq, a predicted model, not a curated record